Molecule: non-coding RNA, 81 nt
Organism: Merluccius polli (Benguela hake)
Lineage: Eukaryota; Metazoa; Chordata; Actinopteri; Gadiformes; Merlucciidae
Source: the annotation of a GenBank genome assembly
UCCUCGUUAGUAUAGUGGUCAGUAUCCCCGCCUGUCACGCGGGGGAGGGCAACAACCGGGGUUCAAUUCCCCGACGGAGGA